UACGUAGGGGGCGAGCGUUGUUCGGAUUUACUGGGCGUAAAGAGCGCGUAGGCGGCCGGAUAAGUCCGUUGUGAAAUCCCCCGGCUCAACCGGGGACCCGCCUCGGAAACUAUCCGGCUUGAGUCGCGGAGAGGAGAGCGGAAUUCCCAGUGUAGCGGUGAAAUGCGUAGAUAUUGGGAGGAACACCGGUGGCGAAGGCGGCUCUCUGGACGCGUACUGACGCUGAGGCGCGAAAGCUAGGGGAGCAAACGGG
RNAcentral lists this ribosomal RNA (253 nucleotides) under uncultured bacterium. RNAcentral's name for it is "partial 16S ribosomal RNA". It matches the Rfam family "Bacterial small subunit ribosomal RNA", at positions 524 to 776 of the family's 1533-position model. The record is from RNAcentral.